GAUAAACACCAAGACUGCCGUACGAAAUAGUAUUCCACAGCUGCAACAACAAUGACGAAAACAUAAAACAACUUACAAUGGACAAUUACUCACAUAUCAACUCAGAUCUCGGGGCCUAGAUACAUCACAUAAGGGUUUCGGCAGUGUCUUAUCAAAUAAGCGAUUUUUACCUUAACACUGGUAUCAUCGGAGCAGGAAGCAACUUUACUUCCAUCAGAAGAGUAGCAACACCAUCUGACUAUGUCCGUGUGUCCAGUGAAUGUCAGUCUCUCAGUGCCACUUUUACUGUCCCAUAUCUAUAUGAAUCAGAUAAUUUUGUCAGCUGAACAAGAAACGACAUUUCCAUCACRAGGAGAGAAAGCACAGCAGAACACAUCUUGCCGAUGACCAGUGAAACAAAGCAAUUCUUCUCCAUUCAAACUGUCCCAAAUCUGUAAAAAACAAUGAUGACAAUGCUUAUGAAAUAGAGCUUUAAAGAUCCAACAUCUUCUCAAUAAAAAAAAUUCAAGAAACAUUCAACCAGGACUGCUUUUUUUUUCAUUUUGGCAAAGGAAGUAAUUUCAUUCAACUGAAGACAGACUAACAACUGUAUUCAAGAUAUUUAUAUAUCAUGAAAAAAGUAAAAAAAAGCAUCUGAAACUUUUCUUGGUAACAAACUUUCUCCCUCCAAAAGUUCAGCAAGAUGUGGAUAAGGUUCUUCUAAAG
Molecule: long non-coding RNA, 705 nt
Organism: Actinia tenebrosa (Australian red waratah sea anemone)
Lineage: Eukaryota; Metazoa; Cnidaria; Anthozoa; Actiniaria; Actiniidae
Source: RefSeq, a predicted model, not a curated record